UACUACGGCCAUGCUACCCUGAACAUGCCGAAUCCCAUCUGAUCUCGGAAGCUAAGCAGGGUUGGGACUGGUUAGUACUUGGAUGGGAGACCACCUAGAAAGACUAAGUGCUAUAGGUG
This 119-nucleotide ribosomal RNA is filed under the name Pteropus alecto (black flying fox). Lineage: Eukaryota; Metazoa; Chordata; Mammalia; Chiroptera; Pteropodidae. The record is from RNAcentral.